Molecule: small nucleolar RNA, 149 nt
Filed under: Nannospalax galili (Upper Galilee mountains blind mole rat)
Lineage: Eukaryota; Metazoa; Chordata; Mammalia; Rodentia; Spalacidae
Description: Small nucleolar RNA SNORA20 (ENSNGAG00000004093.1)
Source: RNAcentral
UUUCCACUGUGUCUUCUGGUAGGUGGCCUGAGUUCAUGUACACUUUAAAAUCAAUGUUCUGAGUUGUAUGUGUGGAAUAAAACAAUAUUGGGCCAUUGUAAAUUGAGAUGGAAUAGGUGCUUUGUCUCUUCUGCAUGGUGUAGACAGUG